This 902-nucleotide ribosomal RNA is filed under the name uncultured archaeon. RNAcentral's name for it is "bacterial SSU rRNA". It matches the Rfam family "Archaeal small subunit ribosomal RNA", at positions 21 to 903 of the family's 1478-position model. The record is from RNAcentral.
CCCCACUGCUAUCGGGAUAGGACUAAGACAUGCUAGUCGCGUGCUUCAGCCAAAACGAGGCACGGCAUACAGCUCAGUAACACGUGGCUAAUCUGCCCUUGGGACGAGAACACCCCCGGGAAACUGGGGCUAAUUCGCGAUAGGCGAAGAACACUGGAAUGUGUCUUCACCUAAAAGACCCUGCGUUAUGCUCGUAGGUGUCGCCCAAGGAUGAGGCCGCGACCGAUCAGGUUGUUGGCGAGGUAAUGGCUCACCAAGCCUUUUACCGGUGCGGGCCGUGGGAGCGGGAGCCCGGAGAUGGGUACUGAGACAAGGACCCAGGCCCUACGGGGCGCAGCAGUCGCGAAAACUUUGCGAUACACGAAAGUGUGACAGGGCUAUCCCGAGUGCCAUCCGCUGAGGAAGGCUUUUACCCAGUCUAGAACGCUGGGGGAAUAAGGAGAGGGCAAGUCUGGUGUCAGCCGCCGCGGUAAUACCAGCUCUUCGAGUGGUGUGGAUGUUUAUUGGGCCUAAAGCAUCCGUAGCUGGCUAAGUUAGUCCCUUGUUAAAUCCACCGAAUUAAUCGUUGGAUUGCGGGGGAUACUGCUUGGCUAGGGGACGAGAGAGGCAGACGGUAUUUUCGGGGUAGGGGUGAAAUCCUAUAAUCCCGGGAAGACCACCAGUGGCGAAGGCUGUCUGCUAGAACGCGCCCGACGGUGAGGGAUGAAAGCUGGGGGAGCGAACUGGAUUAGAUACCCGGGUAGUCCCAGCUGUAAACGAUGCAGACUAGGUGUUUGAACGGCCACGUGCCGUUCUAGUGCCGCAGGGAAGCUGUUAAGUCUGCCGCCUGGGGAGUACGAUCGCAAGAUUGAAACUUAAAGGAAUUGGCGGGGGAGCACCACAAGGGGUGAAGCUUGCGGUUU